Molecule: small nuclear RNA, 184 nt
Organism: Dermacentor albipictus
Lineage: Eukaryota; Metazoa; Arthropoda; Arachnida; Ixodida; Ixodidae
Product: U2 spliceosomal RNA
Source: RefSeq, a predicted model, not a curated record
AUACAUGGCCGACGCGGGUCAAAGUGUACUAUCUGUUCUUAUCAGCUUAGUAUCUCAUACGGGCUGUAUUUCGACCCCAGAUAUUAUAUUUAUUUUUGCAAGUUGGCAGAGUGCUUGAAGCCUGCUUCACCUCCGCCGCGAGUCGGCCCAGUAUCGCAAUACCUUCGGGAUCGGCCCACGGUUU